Molecule: long non-coding RNA, 286 nt
Filed under: Ricinus communis (castor bean)
Lineage: Eukaryota; Viridiplantae; Streptophyta; Magnoliopsida; Malpighiales; Euphorbiaceae
Description: long non-coding RNA (RCOM_LNC001854)
Source: RNAcentral
GGAAAGAGAGCGAAAAGAAGAAGAAGAAGAAAGAGAGAGAGAGGAAGAGAGAAGACGACAAGAGGAAGAAGCGGAGAGGGAGCAAGAGGAGGCAAGGGAACGAGAAGAAGAAAGGCAAAGAAGGGAGAGGGAAGAAAUGGAAAAGAGGGAAAGAGAACAAAAGGAAGCAGAAAAAAGGGAAGAAGAGGAACGAGAAAGACGAGAAGAGGAGGAAGAGAGAAGACGACAAGAGGAAGAAGCGGAGAGGGAGCAAGAGGAGGCAAGGGAACGAGAAGAAGAAAGGCAA